RNAcentral lists this ribosomal RNA (437 nucleotides) under Leifsonia sp. R-46062. Its description in RNAcentral is "bacterial SSU rRNA". It matches the Rfam family "Bacterial small subunit ribosomal RNA", at positions 20 to 455 of the family's 1533-position model. The record is from RNAcentral. Lineage: Bacteria; Bacillati; Actinomycetota; Actinomycetes; Micrococcales; Microbacteriaceae.
UGGCUCAGGACGAACGCUGGCGGCGUGCUUAACACAUGCAAGUCGAACGGUGAAGGAGGAGCUUGCUCCUCUGGAUCAGUGGCGAACGGGUGAGUAACACGUGAGUAACCUGCCCUUGACUCUGGGAUAACCUCGGGAAACCGAAGCUAAUACCGGAUACGACCCUCGGAGGCAUCUCCAGGGGGUGGAAAGAAUUUCGGUCAAGGAUGGACUCGCGGCCUAUCAGGUAGUUGGUGAGGUAACGGCUCACCAAGCCGACGACGGGUAGCCGGCCUGAGAGGGUGACCGGCCACACUGGGACUGAGACACGGCCCAGACUCCUACGGGAGGCAGCAGUGGGGAAUAUUGCACAAUGGGCGCAAGCCUGAUGCAGCAACGCCGCGUGAGGGACGACGGCCUUCGGGUUGUAAACCUCUUUUAGUAGGGAAGAAGCGAAA